GAAAUCUUCAAAUGUCAAAAUCAGACAGCAAUUAAUAAUAUUCAAUUGGGUUAUUAAAAAGUAAAUCUUGCUCAUAAUCAGAAAUCAAUUUACCUGGCUUUCGUUGUCACCAAUUUUGAAAACAUCAGCAUCUGUAUCAACUUUUGCAGGCAAAUUUUGGGAAGGCACAGCAUUUUCUUUCAAAGACGCCUUACCUUAAAAGAUAAAAAUAAAUAGUAAAGACGAACUAACAAUGAGUUACUCAUUA
Long non-coding RNA from Coccinella septempunctata (seven-spotted ladybird), 247 nucleotides. RefSeq lists it as uncharacterized. The transcript has 2 exons. The record is from RefSeq and is a predicted model, not a curated record. Lineage: Eukaryota; Metazoa; Arthropoda; Insecta; Coleoptera; Coccinellidae.